Molecule: ribosomal RNA, 253 nt
Filed under: uncultured bacterium
Lineage: Bacteria
Description: partial 16S ribosomal RNA
Rfam family: Bacterial small subunit ribosomal RNA
Source: RNAcentral
UACAGAGGGUGCGAGCGUUGUUCGGAAUUACUGGGCGUAAAGCGUGCGCAGGCGGCCAUGCAAGACAGAUGUGAAAUCCCCGGGCUCAACCUGGGAACUGCAUUUGUGACUGCAUGGCUAGAGUACGGCAGAGGGGGAUGGAAUUCCGCGUGUAGCAGUGAAAUGCGUAGAUAUGCGGAGGAACACCGAUGGCGAAGGCAAUCCCCUGGGCCUGUACUGACGCUCAUGCACGAAAGCGUGGGGAGCAAACAGG